AGGUACACACUACACAUGUGCGACGAUCAACCACAAAAUGAGAAUCAAAAAAUACCAAUACAUUUGAAAUAACGAAAUUUCCACUUCCCAGCAUAAUCCAUAAUGUAUAUUUGAUAAUGCAUUGAUAAACAUUGAUAAGCAUUAUAGAAAACGCAAGUAGGAGGUAGGUAUUUAAUAUUUAUGAAUAUUUCAAGUUCACUUGUAUAGUCGUAUGAUAUAUUGUAUAUACCGGUAUAAAAAAUUGGCAACAACGCUUAAAACUCCG
Cinara cedri is the source of this 265-nucleotide non-coding RNA. Lineage: Eukaryota; Metazoa; Arthropoda; Insecta; Hemiptera; Aphididae. The record is from the annotation of a GenBank genome assembly.